GGCGCCGUGGCUUCAGUUGGUUAAAGCGCGCUGUCAGAAACAGGGAGAUCACGAGUUCGAAUCUCGUCCCGGUGUCU
Trichonephila clavipes is the source of this 77-nucleotide non-coding RNA. NCBI's taxonomy places the organism in Eukaryota, Metazoa, Arthropoda, Arachnida, Araneae, Nephilidae. The record is from the annotation of a GenBank genome assembly.